UACAGAGGGGCAAGCGUUGUUCGGAAUUACUGGGCGUAAAGGGCGCGUAGGCGGCCUUCUAAGUCGAACGUGAAAUCCCCGGGCUCAACCCGGGAACUGCGUCCGAUACUGGAAGGCUUGAAUCCGGGAGAGGGAUGCGGAAUUCCAGGUGUAGCGGUGAAAUGCGUAGAUAUCUGGAGGAACACCGGUGGCGAAGGCGGCAUCCUGGACCGGCAUGACGCUGAGGCGCGAAAGCCAGGGGAGCAAAGCGGG
Molecule: ribosomal RNA, 252 nt
Filed under: uncultured bacterium
Lineage: Bacteria
Description: partial 16S ribosomal RNA
Rfam family: Bacterial small subunit ribosomal RNA
Source: RNAcentral